RNAcentral lists this ribosomal RNA (250 nucleotides) under uncultured bacterium. Its description in RNAcentral is "partial 16S ribosomal RNA". It matches the Rfam family "Bacterial small subunit ribosomal RNA", at positions 355 to 622 of the family's 1533-position model. The record is from RNAcentral.
UAAGGAAUAUUGGACAAUGGGGGCAACCCUGAUCCAGCCAUGCCGCGUGAGUGAAGAAGGCCUUCGGGUUGUAAAGCUCUUUCAGAUGUGAAGAUGAUGACGGUAACAUCAGAAGAAGCUCCGGCUAACUCCGUGCCAGCAGCCGCGGUAAUACGGAGGGAGCGAGCGUUGUUCGGAAUCACUGGGCGUAAAGCGUACGUAGGCGGUCCUGCAAGUCAGGAGUGAAAGCCCAGGGCUUAACCUUGGAAUU